UGGGGGAUAUUAGUCAAUGGAGGAAACUCUGAACUAGCGACGCCGCGUGAGGGAAGAAGGUCUUCGGAUUGUAAACCUCUGUCGCAAGGGACGAAACAAAUGACGGUACCUUGUGAGGAAGCCCCGGCUAACUACGUGCCAGCAGCCGCGGUAAUACGUAGGGGGCGAGCGUUGUCCGGAAUUACUGGGCGUAAAGGGUGCGUAGGCGGUUGCUUAAGUUGGAUGUGAAAUACCCGGGCUUAACAUGGGGGGUGCAUCCAAUACUGGUUGACUAGAGUACAGGAGAGGAAAGCGGAAUUCCUAGUGUAGCGGUGAAAUGCAUAGAUAUUAGGAGGAACAUCGGUGGCGAAGGCGGCUUUCUGGACUGACACUGACGCUGAGGCUCGAAAGCGUGGGGAGCAAACA
RNAcentral lists this ribosomal RNA (405 nucleotides) under uncultured prokaryote. RNAcentral's name for it is "bacterial SSU rRNA". It matches the Rfam family "Bacterial small subunit ribosomal RNA", at positions 355 to 774 of the family's 1533-position model. The record is from RNAcentral.